GGCCCGCACAAGCGGUGGAGUAUGUGGUUUAAUUCGAUGCAACGCGAAGAACCUUACCAGGGCUUGACAUCCUGCGAACCUCUGGGAAACCGGAGGGUGCCUUCGGGAACGCAGUGACAGGUGGUGCAUGGCUGUCGUCAGCUCGUGUCGUGAGAUGUUGGGUUAAGUCCCGCAACGAGCGCAACCCACGUCUUUAGUUGCCAGCAUUUAGUUGGGCACUCUAGAGAGACCGCCGGUGACAAACCGGAGGAAGUGUGGAUGACGUCAAGUCAUCAUGCCCCUUACGUCCUGGGCUACACACGUACUACAAUGCUACGGACAAAGGGCAGCAAGUUCGCGAGGACAAGCAAAUCCCAUAAACCGUGGCUCAGUUCAGA
RNAcentral lists this ribosomal RNA (377 nucleotides) under uncultured bacterium. Its description in RNAcentral is "bacterial SSU rRNA". It matches the Rfam family "Bacterial small subunit ribosomal RNA", at positions 918 to 1297 of the family's 1533-position model. The record is from RNAcentral.